GAUGGGCAUAAACAACAAUCUAAUCUGAAACAAGGUACAUAUCAGAGUGUUUCUUAAAUUUGAUUAUUGAAACCUCUGUAUAUACCUUUCAUUGGAUUAAACUGAUAAGCACAUGUUUCAAA
This 122-nucleotide microRNA precursor is filed under the name Drosophila virilis. RNAcentral describes it as "microRNA dvi-mir-963 precursor". Its record names the gene dvi-mir-963. The record is from miRBase by way of RNAcentral. Lineage: Eukaryota; Metazoa; Arthropoda; Insecta; Diptera; Drosophilidae.